GACGAACGCUGGCGGCGUGCUUAACACAUGCAAGUCGAACGGAAAGGCCCUGCUUUUGUGGGGUGCUCGAGUGGCGAACGGGUGAGUAACACGUGAGUAACCUGCCCUUGACUUUGGGAUAACUUCAGGAAACUGGGGCUAAUACCGGAUAGGAGCUCCUGCUGCAUGGUGGGGGUUGGAAAGUUUCGGCGGUUAGGGAUGGACUCGCGGCUUAUCAGCUUGUUGGUGGGGUAGUGGCUUACCAAGGCUUUGACGGGUAGCCGGCCUGAGAGGGUGACCGGCCACAUUGGGACUGAGAUACGGCCCAGACUCCUACGGGAGGCAGCAGUGGGGAAUAUUGCACAAUGGGCGGAAGCCUGAUGCAGCAACGCCGCGUGCGGGAUGACGGCCUUCGGGUUGUAAACCGCUUUCGCCUGUGACGAAGCGUGAGUGACGGUAAUGGGUAAAGAAGCACCGGCUAACUACGUG
RNAcentral lists this ribosomal RNA (468 nucleotides) under uncultured bacterium. Its description in RNAcentral is "partial 16S ribosomal RNA". It matches the Rfam family "Bacterial small subunit ribosomal RNA", at positions 28 to 507 of the family's 1533-position model. The record is from RNAcentral.